CGGAAACUGAAGCUCUUGAGUGAGGUAGAGGCAGGCGGAAUUCCCAGUGUAGCGGUGAAAUGCGUAGAUAUUGGGAGGAACACCAGUGGCGAAGGCGGCCUGCUGGGCCUUAACUGACGCUGAGGCUCGAAAGUGUGGGGAGCAAACAGGAUUAGAUACCCUGGUAGUCCACACUGUAAACGAUGAUAACUCGCUGUCGGCGAUAUACAGUCGGUGGCCAAGCGAAAGCGAUAAGUUAUCCACCUGGGGAGUACGACCGCAAGGUUGAAACUCAAAGGAAUUGACGGGGGCCCGCACAAGCGGAGGAACAUGUGGUUUAAUUCGAUGAUACGCGAGGAACCUUACCCGGGCUCGAACGAUGCAUGAAUGUCAGAGAGAUUUGACAGUCCUUCGGGACAUGUAUCGAGGUGCUGCAUGGUUGUCGUCAGCUCGUGCCGUGAGGUGUCGGCUUAAGUGCCAUAACGAGCGCAAC
RNAcentral lists this ribosomal RNA (472 nucleotides) under uncultured bacterium. RNAcentral's name for it is "bacterial SSU rRNA". It matches the Rfam family "Bacterial small subunit ribosomal RNA", at positions 627 to 1102 of the family's 1533-position model. The record is from RNAcentral.